GGGACACGUGGUAUCCUGUCUGAAUAUGGGGGGACCAUCCUCCAAGGCUAAAUACUCCUGACUGACCGAUAGUGAACCAGUACCGUGAGGGAAAGGCGAAAAGAACCCCGGCGAGGGGAGUGAAAAAGAACCUGAAACCGUGUACGUACAAGCAGUGGGAGCCUCUUUUAUGGGGUGACUGCGUACCUUUUGUAUAAUGGGUCAGCGACUUAUAUUCUGUAGCAAGGUUAACCGAAUAGGGGAGCCGAAGGGAAACCGAGUCUUAACUGGGCGUUAAGUUGCAGGGUAUAGACCCGAAACCCGGUGAUCUAGCCAUGGGCAGGUUGAAGGUUGGGUAACACUAACUGGAGGACCGAACCGACUAAUGUUGAAAAAUUAGCGGAUGACUUGUGGCUGGGGGUGAAAGGCCAAUCAAACCGGGAGAUAGCUGGUUCUCCCCGAAAGCUAUUUAGGUAGCGCCUCGUGAAUUCAUCUCCGGGGGUAGAGCACUGUUUCGGCAAGGGGGUCAUCCCGACUUACCAACCCGAUGCAAACUGCGAAUACCGGAGAAUGUUAUCACGGGAGACACACGGCGGGUGCUAACGUCCGUCGUGAAGAGGGAAACAACCCAGACCGCCAGCUAAGGUCCCAAAGUCAUGGUUAAGUGGGAAACGAUGUGGGAAGGCCCAGACAGCCAGGAUGUUGGCUUAGAAGCAGCCAUCAUUUAAAGAAAGCGUAAUAGCUCACUGGUCGAGUCGGCCUGCGCGGAAGAUGUAACGGGGCUAAACCAUGCACCGAAGCUGCGGCAGCGACACUAUGUGUUGUUGGGUAGGGGAGCGUUCUGUAAGCCUGUGAAGGUGUGCUGUGAGGCAUGCUGGAGGUAUCAGAAGUGCGAAUGCUGACAUAAGUAACGAUAAAGCGGGUGAAAAGCCCGCUCGCCGGAAGACCAAGGGUUCCUGUCCAACGUUAAUCGGGGCAGGGUGAGUCGACCCCUAAGGCGAGGCCGAAAGGCGUAGUCGAUGGGAAACAGGUUAAUAUUCCUGUACUUGGUGUUACUGCGAAGGGGGGACGGAGAAGGCUAUGUUGGCCGGGCGACGGUUGUCCCGGUUUAAGCGUGUAGGCUGGUUUUCCAGGCAAAUCCGGAAAAUCAAGGCUGAGGCGUGAUGACGAGGCACUACGGUGCUGAAGCAACAAAUGCCCUGCUUCCAGGAAAAG
This 1194-nucleotide ribosomal RNA is filed under the name Escherichia coli. RNAcentral's name for it is "partial 23S ribosomal RNA". It matches the Rfam family "Bacterial large subunit ribosomal RNA", at positions 419 to 1617 of the family's 2925-position model. The record is from RNAcentral. Lineage: Bacteria; Pseudomonadati; Pseudomonadota; Gammaproteobacteria; Enterobacterales; Enterobacteriaceae.